UAAAAUCAACUCUUUUCUUUUUGUAACUCAACCUUAUUUUUUCAAAAUCCCAACCCUCACUCAUUCUUGUCUUCAUGAUCCUCUUACCCCAACCCUAACCCUUAGAAUCUCAAUCUCCCCAACGCACAAAGGAUGGCGUUCAUGUUAGGAGGAAGUCCUUGACAAACUCAAUGGCGGUUGGUGAAUCGAUCUAGUUUGACCUUGACGUUGGUGGAUGCGGCAAGGAGGAUGGUGGCUUCAAGGGCGGAACUACAAACAUCUCAAAAGGGGCAUCCGUCCCUCCUAAAAAAUCACAAUUCAUUAGUAACUGCACCUAAAAUAGAAAAUUUUGUCCCCCUCAGCUUUUAACAUGUUAAGUUUAAUAUUACAACUUUCUUCUUCAUGUCUCCUUUACAUAAUCAUGUGUUAAUUUUUUCGUCUCCCUUAACUUUUUUCUCUAGUUCCGCCCCUGGGUGGCUUGGAUGCUUUGAUGGUUGAUAGAGUUAAUUGGUUGGUGUUGGAGCCAAUGUAGGGAGUAGUUUUUGAAGAAAAAAAGAUUUUUUGGAAUUUUAGUUUAGGAGAUGCGUUUUGCAUAGAAUUUAUCAUAGGGAUUUCGUGACAAAGAGGUUAGAAAAAAAUAGAGAUGAGCAUAAUGUGGUGAAGCUUUAGUAGAGAUGUGAGUCUCUAAUUGAUGGCAAGGUUUACGAGAUUGCAAGUUUAUGGUGCUGCUUCUGCGAAUGACUUCAGAACCUUGAUGGUUGUUUAAGGAAGGUGGGUUAGAGCAAUAUUUGCGGAUGGUGGAGGAGGACGGGUUUCAUGUGGCUUGGUGAUAAGCAAUUAGAAGAUGAAUUUGAUGAUGCAUUGCAAUGGUCACUAACAUGGAGCUUUUCUCGUAUUAAUGGUGGUGUUUCAAGGGGUAUUUAAAAGCACCAAAAGAAUGUUAGACAAAGGACAUGGAAGUCCAAGAGGGGG
RNAcentral lists this long non-coding RNA (951 nucleotides) under Glycine max (soybean). RNAcentral describes it as "long non-coding RNA (GMAX_LNC000875)". Lineage: Eukaryota; Viridiplantae; Streptophyta; Magnoliopsida; Fabales; Fabaceae. The record is from RNAcentral.